This is a non-coding RNA of Oryzias latipes (Japanese medaka), 84 nucleotides long. NCBI's taxonomy places the organism in Eukaryota, Metazoa, Chordata, Actinopteri, Beloniformes, Adrianichthyidae. The record is from Rfam.
AUCUCUGCUGCCCAUGGUGCAGUGCUGCAUCUCUGGUCAGUUGAUAGUCUGAGAUGAAGCACUGUAGCUCGGGACGGAGGGCAG